AAAACGAAAGUAACACACACUUGGCUUCGGCCCAAGAGAUGGCUCACGCCUCGUUUUG
RNAcentral lists this transfer RNA (58 nucleotides) under Baikalogammarus pullus. RNAcentral's name for it is "tRNA-Arg". Lineage: Eukaryota; Metazoa; Arthropoda; Malacostraca; Amphipoda; Baikalogammaridae. The record is from RNAcentral.